ACGGGGUGCAGCAGGCGCGAAAACUUCGCAAUGCGCGAAAGCGUGACGAGGUCACUCCGAGUGCCGUCCGCUGAGGAUGGCUUUUGCCCGGUUUAACUAGCCAGGUGAAUAAGGGGAGGGCAAGUCUAGUGUCAGCCGCCGCGGUAAUACCAGCUCCCCGAGUGGUUGGGACGAUUAUUGGGUCUGAAGCGUCCGUAGCCGGCCGAAAAAGUUCCCCGUUAAAUCUGGCGAUCCAAUCGUUGGGCUGCGGGGAAUACUCUUCGGCUUGGGGGCGAGGGAGGUCGGCGGUAGUCCUGGGGUAGGGGCGAAAUCCUAUAAUCCCAGGAGGACCACCAGUGGCGAAGGCGGCCGACUAAAACGCGCCCGACGGUGAGGGACGAAAGCUGGGGGAGCGAACGGGAUUAGAUACCCCGGUAGUCCCAGCUGUAAACGAUGCAGGCUAGGUGUUGGGACGGCUACGAGCUGUCCCAGUGCCGCAGGGAAGCCAUUAAGCCUGCCACCUGGGAAGUACGGCCGCAAGGCUGAAACUUAAAGGAAUUGGCGGGGGAGCAC
RNAcentral lists this ribosomal RNA (552 nucleotides) under uncultured archaeon. RNAcentral's name for it is "bacterial SSU rRNA". It matches the Rfam family "Archaeal small subunit ribosomal RNA", at positions 325 to 879 of the family's 1478-position model. The record is from RNAcentral.